UGGGGAAUAUUGGACAAUGGGCGCAAGCCUGAUCCAGCCAUGCCGCGUGUGUGAAGAAGGCUCUAGGGUUGUAAAGCACUUUCAGUCGGGAGGAAAGCUUAAAAGUUAAUACCUUUUGAGUGUGACGUUACCGACAGAAGAAGCACCGGCUAACUCCGUGCCAGCAGCCGCGGUAAUACGGAGGGUGCAAGCGUUAAUCGGAAUUACUGGGCGUAAAGCGCGCGUAGGUGGUUCGUUAAGUUGGAUGUGAAAGCCCAGGGCUCAACCUUGGAACUGCAUUCAAAACUGGCGAGCUAGAGUACAGUAGAGGGUAGUGGAAUUUCAGGUGUAGCGGUGAAAUGCGUAGAGAU
This 350-nucleotide ribosomal RNA is filed under the name uncultured bacterium. Its description in RNAcentral is "bacterial SSU rRNA". It matches the Rfam family "Bacterial small subunit ribosomal RNA", at positions 355 to 697 of the family's 1533-position model. The record is from RNAcentral.